GAGGCGGGCGCGACCACUGUGGAGUCGCAGGGGGGAGCGCGGCUGCGGACGGACGCAGGGGCCGGCUGGGAGUGAGCGCCGCCGGGUGGGGCUGAAGGAGUGUAGCGACGGUUUUGUCGCACGCAGUCCGGAGGUGCGAAGGAGGGGACCUCGGCCCCGCGCUCCGAGUCCGGAUCCCGCAGCCGUCGGACUCCCCCUCCGAUCUGAGCGCAGUGGUUGCGCCUGGGCCGAGCCUGCGCACUCGGCGCCUGCUCAAACGUAUCCCGGGCUGUCUGGACCCCUCCGCCGGGGCCCACGCCGCUCCCCUCCCCCACCACCGCGACGCUCCAGCCCCAGCCGCCACGUGCCGCGGGGACCCCGAGGGGGAGCCGCUUAAACGGUCCCCAGGGCUCCAGAAGGCUUGAGUAGACGGAGGCGUGUAGUGCUGUCAACGGCUAAGUUAUGGUCUGAGGAUUUGAGGGGUGUCGAACUUUAUCGAACUCCACAUGCUUUGCCUACUGCAUCAGACUGGAUGUGGUACUCGUCGGGCACUGUGAGAAGAGCAGAAAUCCAAAGAAGGAUUUGAAAAAUCCCCAGGACUCUCUUGCUUAAAACACCCAUCUCCUAGACUUCACCUCAAGGGAUGUAGAAUUAGCCCAAGGUACCCCUUGUGACAACCCCUUUACUCCCAAGCUUUUAUUUGUUAACAAGACCCUGGGAGACUAACCACAGUGGAGAAACACUAGCUUCCAUGUUACUGUUCACUAUAUAGUGUCACUUGCUGAGUUUUGCUUUCAGUUCCAAAGUCAACCAUGGAGGAUUCUGAAAAACAGAAUGAGAUACUUUUGUGGACAGUAAUGUUCUUCCCUAGACCCAACACAGUGAAGUGUGAAACAAGACUGAUUUCUUCAGGGAGACUUCCAGCCUCUCUCCCUUCUGAUUUCGGUCCAUUUAAUACCAUGUGUCUUGUAAGCUCUACACUUAACAUGUUACAAUAGCUUGUCUCAGUAGGAUACAGUUUCACAAGAUGACAGGCCAACCUUGUCUUGUACAUAAUUAUUUCUCUACUUCAAGCAAGCCACCUGAAUUUUCUGUAUAAAUGGUUUUACCCAUAAAAUGAGAAACUUGCUUAUGUGAUUAUGAGGAAGCCUCUUAAGAAAAUCCACAUGGAAUUGUUUUUGAAGCACAGGAAUAGAAGCUAUUAGAAGUUGUAAUAACUAUUUUGAUAAAAGUAAUCAUAGCUACUACUAUUCUUUACCUCAAUAGAACCCAACUUUAAACCUCAGGGAAGAGCUGGACAAAUCUUACAAUUUGUUGUAGAACUUGUGAUGUUAUUUAAUAAUUAUAAAUGGAUAGAACAAAGGAUUUUAUUUUCAGAAACUGGCAUUAAAGACUGACCAAGUAAUAAGCAUUUGCGGUCACAUGUAUGUCUCUAAGCAUCUUUAACUUGACUUAGAAAAGAAUUAGUUUUAUCAGACCUUUCAAAAUGCCAAGUUUUAGAUAACAUAUAAAAGAUGGAAUCAAAUUAAGAGCAUGGAUAAUAGAAUAUACAGCCAACCAUAUACCUCUGCCUUCAACUGUUUUUCUCCAACUCCUAUUCUGCAUAUUAAACUUCAUUGUACUUGAAGAUGCUUAGUACUCUAAGAUUAUUCAGUAAGGUGAUAUAUUAAAUGCUCCAGUCUAUUUUAAAAAUUAGAUCCUGUUUCUGGGUGUGGUGGUGCAUGCUUUUAAUCCUAACAGUUGGGAGGCAGAGACAGAGGCAGGUGGAUUUCUGUGAGUUUGAGGCCAGCCUGGUCUAUAAUGGGAGUUCCAGGAUGCUACUGCUGUUACACAGAGAGACCCUUUCUCAAAAAACUACACACACACACACACACACACACACACACACAGAGAUCAGUGCAACAGUUAAAAUAAUCACUUGGUAAGAAUUAUAAUAUAAAAUUGUUUCUAAUCUUAGGAAGUUUAGACUUGUUAAAUUCUGUGUAGCAGUUUCAUGAGAAAGCAGAGGUUAGAAGUAACACAUAGAGUGUUGUCACAGAUUGCAAGCCUCCUGCUGAGUUUCGAUCUCUUCCGAAUCAUGCUUCUAUUUUCCCACAGUACUAUAAACUUUAAUUCAUAAAUUGGAACAGUAAUACCAUACACUGGAAGAGAAUAAUUUAAACCCUGAAUUAUUUACCAUUUUCAAAUUGUAUGAACCAUAGUGUAUCUACUAAACUCCUAAUUGUCAACAUCAUUCUCAACUUCCAUUUUGCGAUGGCCAUGUCAGUAUCCUUUCCCUGACUAACAGAAUUUGACCAAAAACUGUGGAAUUUAGUAGUAAGCAAUCAGAAAAGAAAUGGUUCCCUACUUAAUUGCAUGUUUGCCUGUUUUUAAGUUGUUAUAUGUUCUGUGUUACUUUAUUGGGCUUAAUGAAGAUAUUUUUUCAUGUAUAUCAUGUGUCUUAACCAUAUUCCCAUCUUGUGUUCCCUCAUUUCCCAUCCCCUUGUCCACUCAUGAUAAUCUCCUUCUGUGCCUCAGUCUUCCUUCUUUUUCAUCUCUCUCUCUCUCUCUCUCUCUCUCUCUCUCUCUCUCUCUCACACACACACACACACACACACACACCUAUAUACAGCUUAGUAAAUCUAUUAAGAACCUAGGAUUCACUAAUAAAACAUUGUAUUUAAGUCUGGCUUCUUUUACUUAUAUAAUUAUCUCUAGUUGUAUCAAGUUUCUACAAAAUGACACAAUUUCGUUCUUCUUUAUGACUAAAAUGACACAAUUUCAUUCCUCUUUAUGACCAAAUAAAGUUCCAUUGUGCAUGAAUACAUUUCUUUAUCCAAUCAUCUGCUGAAAGACAAGUAUAGCUUGACUAUUGUGGGUGUUGCUGCCAUUAAUAUGGAUGUGCAUGUCUCUGUGGUAUGUUGAAGGAAGUCCUCCAGAAAUAUGCCCAGAAGUGGUUUAUGAGUUGUAUGGUAGUUCUUAUUAUUGGCGUGAGGAAUCUCCAUACUGAUUUCCAUGGUGUCUGGACAGAUUAUAUUCCCACCAACAGUGUACAAGAACUACUUCCAUCUUUGUUACCUUUUGUCCUCUUUUGUUUAACUUUUGAUAGCCAUUCAGACUUAGGUGAGAGGAAAUCUCAUUGUAGUUUUAAUUUCUAUGUCCUUGCUGGCUUAGGAUAUUGAAUAUUUGUUUCUUUUGUUUGUGGUUCACUGGCCAUUGAUACUUCACAGUUUUUAAGGGUAGAGAGUUGGGGUUGAGAAAAAUAUCAACUUUACAUAUCCAAACUUUCUACGUAGACUAGGAUGACCUUGGACUCUGGAUUUUCUACCUAUACUUGUGUGCCUCAUGCCGGAUUUUGAACUUCAUCUUUUAAAAAUUGUUGGUUUUCAAUAACCUAUUUAUUAGCUGGCUUGUUUGGAUUUUUGACAUUUCAUUAAAUAUCAGAUUACAUAUUC
Mesocricetus auratus (golden hamster) is the source of this 3413-nucleotide long non-coding RNA. RefSeq lists it as uncharacterized. The record is from RefSeq and is a predicted model, not a curated record. NCBI's taxonomy places the organism in Eukaryota, Metazoa, Chordata, Mammalia, Rodentia, Cricetidae. The transcript has 3 exons.